RNAcentral lists this ribosomal RNA (901 nucleotides) under uncultured bacterium. RNAcentral's name for it is "bacterial SSU rRNA". It matches the Rfam family "Bacterial small subunit ribosomal RNA", at positions 8 to 916 of the family's 1533-position model. The record is from RNAcentral.
AGAGUUUGAUCCUGGCUCAGGAUGAACGCUAGCGGCAGGCUUAACACAUGCAAGUCGAGGGGUAUAGUUCUUCGGAACUAGAGACCGGCGCACGGGUGCGUAACGCGUAUGCAAUCUACCUUUCACAGAGGGAUAGCCCAGAGAAAUUUGGAUUAAUACCUUAUAGUAUUACGACUUCGCAUGGAGAUGUAAUUAAAGAUUUAUCGGUGAAAGAUGAGCAUGCGUCCCAUUAGUUUGUUGGUAAGGUAACGGCUUACCAAGACUACGAUGGGUAGGGGUCCUGAGAGGGAGAUCCCCCACACUGGUACUGAGACACGGACCAGACUCCUACGGGAGGCAGCAGUGAGGAAUAUUGGACAAUGGGCGCAAGCCUGAUCCAGCCAUGCCGCGUGCAGGAUGACGGUCCUAUGGAUUGUAAACUGCUUUUAUACAGGAAGAAACACCUCUACGUGUAGAGACUUGACGGUACUGUAAGAAUAAGGAUCGGCUAACUCCGUGCCAGCAGCCGCGGUAAUACGGAGGAUCCAAGCGUUAUCCGGAAUCAUUGGGUUUAAAGGGUCCGUAGGCGGCUCAGUAAGUCAGUGGUGAAAUCUCCCGGCUCAACCGGGAAAUGGCCAUUGAUACUGUUGGGCUUGAAUUAUUAGGAAGUAACUAGAAUAUGUAGUGUAGCGGUGAAAUGCUUAGAGAUUACAUGGAAUACCAAUUGCGAAGGCAGGUUACUACUAAUGGAUUGACGCUGAUGGACGAAAGCGUGGGUAGCGAACAGGAUUAGAUACCCUGGUAGUCCACGCCGUAAACGAUGGAUACUAGCUGUUGGGAGCAAUCUCAGUGGCUAAGCGAAAGUGAUAAGUAUCCCACCUGGGGAGUACGUUCGCAGAAUGAAACUCAAAGGAAUUGACGG